GACGAACGCUGGCGGCGUGCUUAACACAUGCAAGUCGAACGGAAAGGCCCUGCUUUUGUGGGGUUCUCGAGUGGCGAACGGGUGAGUAACACGUGAGUAACCUGCCCUUGUCUUUGGGAUAUCUUCAGGAAACUCGGGCUAUUACCCGGUAGGAUCUCCUGCUGCGUGUUGGGGGAUGGAAAGUUUCGGCGGUUGGGGAUGGACUCGCGGCUUAUCAGCUUGUUGGUGGGGUAGUGGCUUACCAAGGCUUUGACGGGUAGCCGGCCUGAGAGGGUGAACGGCCACAUUGGGACUGCGAUACGGACCAGACUCCUACGGGAGGCAGCAGUGGGGAAUAUUGCACAAUGGGCGGAAGCCUGAUGCAGCAACGCCGCGUGCGGGAUGACGGCCUUCGGGUUGUAAACCGCUUUCGACUGUGACGAAGCGUGCGUGACGGUAAUGGGUAAAGAAGCACCGGCUAACUACGUG
This 468-nucleotide ribosomal RNA is filed under the name uncultured bacterium. Its description in RNAcentral is "partial 16S ribosomal RNA". It matches the Rfam family "Bacterial small subunit ribosomal RNA", at positions 28 to 507 of the family's 1533-position model. The record is from RNAcentral.